This 301-nucleotide ribosomal RNA is filed under the name uncultured bacterium. RNAcentral describes it as "partial 16S ribosomal RNA". It matches the Rfam family "Bacterial small subunit ribosomal RNA", at positions 509 to 807 of the family's 1533-position model. The record is from RNAcentral.
CAGUCGCCGCGGGAAUACGUAGGUGGCAAGCGUUGUCCGGAAUUAUUGGGCGUAAAGGGCUCGCAGGCGGUUUCUUAAGUCUGAUGUGAAAGCCCCCGGCUCAACCGGGGAGGGUCAUUGGAAACUGGGAAACUUGAGUGCAGAAGAGGAGAGUGGAAUUCCACGUGUAACGGUGAAAUGCGUAGAGAUGUAGAGGAACACCAGUGGCGAAGGCGACUCUCUGGUCUGUAACUGACGCUGAGGAGCGAAAGCGUGGGGAGCGAACAGGAUUAGAUACCACAGUAGUCCCUGUCUCUUAUAC